CUCCCUAAUCGAGUCAGGUUGA
This 22-nucleotide microRNA is filed under the name Bombyx mori (domestic silkworm). RNAcentral's name for it is "bmo-miR-929-3p". Its record names the gene bmo-miR-929-3p. Lineage: Eukaryota; Metazoa; Arthropoda; Insecta; Lepidoptera; Bombycidae. The record is from miRBase by way of RNAcentral. RNAcentral also lists the same sequence under 1 other name.